Molecule: ribosomal RNA, 549 nt
Filed under: uncultured Glomeromycotina
Lineage: Eukaryota; Fungi; Glomeromycota
Description: SSU rRNA
Rfam family: Eukaryotic small subunit ribosomal RNA
Source: RNAcentral
UUGGAGGGCAAGUCUGGUGCCAGCAGCCGCGGUAAUUCCAGCUCCAAUGGCGUAUAUUAAAGUUGUUGCAGUUAAAAAGCUCGUAGUUGAAUUUCGGGAUCAAUAUGUCGGUCGUGCCAUUGGUACGUACUGGUAUCAUUGAUUUCUCCUUUCUGACGAACCAUGAUGUCAUUAAUUUGGUGUUAUGGGGAGUUAGGACUGUUACUUUGAAAAAAUUAGAGUGUUUAAAGCAGGCAUUAGCUUGAAUACAUUAGCAUGGAAUAAUGAAAUAGGACGUUUGACCCUAUUUUGUUGGUUUCUAGGAUCGACGUAAUGAUUAAUAGGGAUAGUUGGGGGCAUUAGUAUUCAAUUGUCAGAGGUGAAAUUCUUGGAUUUAUUGAAGACUAACUACUGCGAAAGCAUUUGCCAAGGAUGUUUUCAUUAAUCAAGAACGAAAGUUAGGGGAUCGAAGACGAUCAGAUACCGUCGUAGUCUUAACCAUAAACUAUGCCGACUAGGGAUCGGAUGAUGUUAAUUUUUUAAUGACUCAUUCGGCGCCUUACGGGAAAC